AUCCAGCUGAUGAAUCCCAAAUAGGAGGAAACGGGCGUCCUGGAU
Molecule: non-coding RNA, 45 nt
Filed under: Schistosoma margrebowiei
Lineage: Eukaryota; Metazoa; Platyhelminthes; Trematoda; Strigeidida; Schistosomatidae
Source: RNAcentral